GGCCUACACCACAGCUAUGACAACGCUGGAUCCUUAACCCACUAAGCAAGGCCAGGGAUUGAACCCGCAACCUCAUGGUUCCUAGUUGGAUUCAAUAACCACUGCGCCACAACAGGAACCCCGAAACCCAUCUUUUAACCUGGAGGUGAUACUACCAAGCCUCUGCUGGGCUUGAAGUGUGUUUUGGCGCCCUCUGGUGGCCAUUCUGUCUAAUGACAACUCACAGCCCUGCCUCCAGCUUCCUGAACAGGAAAGAAUGCCCUUGGCUUGUGCUCCAAAUAGUGGAUUUAAUCCCUCCUCUCACUCUAAGAACAAUCAAGCUCAUUCUAGGCGCAUUAAUAUUCUGUCGAAGUCAGCUAUGGCACUCACUCCUCCUAAUCCUUCCCCACUCGUCUAAGUCCUUGAGUCAAACUCAUCCAAAUCUGGUGACAGAAUUUCCAUGAGUCUUGUUCCCCACUCUUCAUUUCUGGGUUUUGGCCAGAGGUUUGUUUUUCCCCUCCAGGGGGAAUUAGAGGAGGGGAGAGGCUCUGAACGAAGGAAAAGAAGAAACUUUUCAGAGAAUCCUUGAGAGACCCGUCUCUGGGAUGAAUGCAGCCUGUGGGCUGAUCAAGGAAGCGUGGCUUUAGUGCAUUCAAUUCAUGAGCCCCCGCCCAGCUGUCCUGAGGGCAAACCCUGCAGAAGCCUGAUUGGGAGCACUGAAAGCAUAGUCCUCAGUCUCCUGCCUUUCGGCUGAGAUGUCAGCCUCUGCAGAAGCUGAGGGCCAUCAGAGAUCUUUCCAAUCAUCUGGAAUUUAGGCUCCACCAGCUGUCUGAAAGUGACCCACAGAUGAUAAGAGCAGGACAAGUCCUUCCUAUCAGGGGCCAGAGGUCUCUCUCAAAGUCUCCUGUGACUCUCCCUCCUCCUCCCUGCCCAUCACCACUACCCCAUGUCGUCCGGCUGAUCCCACUUCAGUUCAGCUCACCACCUGUAAAUACAUCUGGCUUCCUGAAUACACGCAACCUAUUCCUUG
Molecule: non-coding RNA, 1009 nt
Organism: Sus scrofa (pig)
Lineage: Eukaryota; Metazoa; Chordata; Mammalia; Artiodactyla; Suidae
Source: RefSeq, a predicted model, not a curated record